CAAGAUUUCCAUGCCAGUGCAAGAUUUCCAUGCCAGUGCAAGAUUCCAAUGCCAGUACCAGUGCAAAUGUCGAUGCCGAUGCCGAACAAACAAACAAAAAAUCCAACCAAAUAUUUUUUUUCCCUUUGCCCGCAUGGGCCUUAAACUAACAGCAAAACAAAAAAAAUCCAAACAAUAAACAAUUUUUUUUUUCCUCUUUUUUUUUUUUUUUUUUUUCAUCCUUCUUCCUUCCUUUUUUUCCUUCUGUGCGAACCACCAACAUCAGUCUUUCUUUUUUUUCCUUUUCUUUUCUCCUUCCCUUCAACCUUUGUUUCUGGGCAUUGGUUUUCACCAGAACAAACAUGCAAAACACGCAUGUCUCAAACAAACAGCCAAUUUUUUUUCCUUUCCUUCUUCCACGCAUACAAACUUAUUCGCAAUGCAGCUGCAAACGGUCGGAUUUGUGCAGGGAUUCAGAUGGUGGUUGUGCAAGGCAGAGACAAAGUUGAUCCAAGUGGUUCUCAGGUCUAGGCUUCAUAAAAAAUCACGAAGGUGGUCGAUCUGGUGCAGAACGGUGCGGGAUGCGGAUCAGGUGUAGAAGUAUAGGACAAGAACAAACGACGAACAAUAUGAACAACGAAUCUAAACUGAAAAAACACAGCGGAAGACGGCAAUCUACAAACAAAUUGAUAUCAAACUGAUACCUAACAAACAGACAAACAAAACUGAUUCAAACAAAUUGACACUAAUCAAGAACAGAUUAAAUCCUGAAGGAUCAAACCUGCUCUGAUACCAAGUUGAAUAUCAGAGUGCGGAACAAAUAAGACUAUAAAAUGAUAAGAAUUUUAUUGAACAAACUGAGAAUGCCGAGACGGCUACAAAACCCUAAGAGACUACAUUGUGACUCACUUACUCUCAAACUAAAUUACAAGCUCUAUUAUAGAGCAAUAAACCUAAGAAACCCUAAUGCGUAAAUGCCAAAAAUACCCUACUACAAAAUCAAAUCAAAUCUCUAAUUAAUUUCCUAAAUAAACCUAAUAAAUUCCAACAGUACGUACAUUAUUUUCCUAGCCUAGAGUAAAAAGUGGUGACGUUAACCCUCAAGUUCAACUUAGCCACCAAAGGAACAAUGCUUAUCAACCUCCCCAACCACCAAGAGAAAAUUUUCAUUAUGACGGAAAUAUAGAUGGUACACCACGUGUUUUUAUAUAAGUGGUGAGAAAUUGUAUUUUUUUUUUAAGUUAUUAACUUUUUAACACACAUAUUUCACCAUUAAUAUAAUGAUACAUAAUGUACCAUUUCGUGUUCUAAUCACACUAAAAAAUCUCUCCAAGCACCAAUUAACUCAUGCUCCGGCAACAUGCAAUGCAAUAAUUCAAGUAACCGAAAGAAAAAAAAUGAAAAUCAAAGCAAACCCUACUUUUUAAGCAAUCUAGGAAAAAUCCAAAUUUUGACUGUGAUCACUCACAAGUACGUAUAUCAGAAAACGACAAGGGCAAAGGUGGCAAACGGAUGGGUGUGUACGUAUCUUUCUUGCUGCCAUUGUUGUUGAGUAUUUAAUAAAUGAGAAAUGACGACUUUUCGAAGCCAAAAAAGGAGGGAACUUCUAUAGUUCCGAUGGCUAAAACACAAAAAGAGAGGACAGGGAAAGGAAUACUUAUAUAUGUUUUCGGUUUAAAGUUUUGAUUGUUAAACAAUUAUUAAAACUAUGAUUGAAAUUUUUUUUCACUUAUUUUAAAUUUGACUCGCAUAGAUAACGAUGACGUAAAAUAUUUGAAUUAGGUUUGAUUCUUAGUUAAUAGUUAUCUCAUUUUGUGACCAAGCUAAAUCCUUAUUCUUUUAAGUACAUUGUUCAUUCCCGCUUAAAAUAAAAUAUUAUUGUAUUAAUAAAUAAAAAAAUAGAAAGAAAAUAAUUUAUCAUUCUCAUUGUUACCCCAGUGAUUGAG
RNAcentral lists this long non-coding RNA (1925 nucleotides) under Malus domestica (apple). RNAcentral's name for it is "long non-coding RNA (MDOM_LNC013783)". The record is from RNAcentral. Lineage: Eukaryota; Viridiplantae; Streptophyta; Magnoliopsida; Rosales; Rosaceae.